GAGGUAAACAGUGCUGUUAACCAUUCCCGCUUCUUAUCCGCCGAUAGUAGUCGGAGGACACGGGGGAGAUCCGUCCUCUCCAGGGCCGAAGUGGAGUUGGCUUCGGGGUUAACUCCCAAUUACUCUCUUCUCUCGCCGCUCACGGCGUGGAGCACCAUAAAAAAAAGGAAACAGCGGUUGUGCUGAGAAACGGCUUUAUUAUAACGCACCGUUAUUGUUUUUCCUGACUGUUCUGCCUAACCGCUCCGUCUCUUCUCUUCACACCUUUUCUUC
Melanotaenia boesemani (Boeseman's rainbowfish) is the source of this 273-nucleotide long non-coding RNA. RefSeq lists it as uncharacterized. The transcript is spliced from 3 exons. NCBI's taxonomy places the organism in Eukaryota, Metazoa, Chordata, Actinopteri, Atheriniformes, Melanotaeniidae. The record is from RefSeq and is a predicted model, not a curated record.